RNAcentral lists this ribosomal RNA (1295 nucleotides) under uncultured bacterium. RNAcentral's name for it is "bacterial SSU rRNA". It matches the Rfam family "Bacterial small subunit ribosomal RNA", at positions 92 to 1401 of the family's 1533-position model. The record is from RNAcentral.
UUAGUGGCGGACUGGUGAGUAACACGUAAGCAACCUGCCUGUUAGAGGGGAAUAACAACGAGAAAUCGUUGCUAAUACCGCAUAUGCCAUAUGAACCACAUGGUUCAAGUGGGAAAGGAGUAAUCCGCUAACAGAUGGGCUUGCGUCUGAUUAGAUAGUUGGUGGGGUAACGGCCUACCAAGUCGACGAUCAGUAGCCGGACUGAGAGGUUCAACGGCCACAUUGGGACUGAGAUACGGCCCAGACUCCUACGGGAGGCAGCAGUGGGGGAUAUUGCACAAUGGAGGAAACUCUGAUGCAGCAACGCCGCGUGAGGGAAGACGGUCUUCGGAUUGUAAACCUAAGUUAUCAGGGACGAUUAUGACGGUACCUGAAGAGAAAGCUCCGGCUAACUACGUGCCAGCAGCCGCGGUAAUACGUAGGGGGCAAGCGUUGUCCGGAAUGACUGGGCGUAAAGGGCGUGUAGGCGGCUUUUUAAGUGUGAAGUGAAAGUCCUGCUUUCAAGGUGGGAAUUGCUUUGCAAACUGGAGAGCUUGAGUACGGAAGAGGUAAGUGGAAUUCCCAGUGUAGCGGUGAAAUGCGUAGAGAUUGGGAGGAACACCAGUGGCGAAGGCGACUUACUGGGCCGUAACUGACGCUGAGGCGCGAAAGCGUGGGGAGCGAACAGGAUUAGAUACCCUGGUAGUCCAUGCCGUAAACGUUGGGCACUAGGUGUGGGGGACAUUCCACGUUUUCCGCGCCGUAGCUAACGCAUUAAGUGCCCCGCCUGGGGAGUACGGCCGCAAGGCUAAAACUCAAAGGAAUUGACGGGGGCCCGCACAAGCGGCGGAGCAUGCGGAUUAAUUCGAUGCAACGCGAAGAACCUUACCAAGGCUUGACAUGAACCGGAAAGGCCUGGAAACAGGUCCCCCACUUGUGGCCGGUUUACAGGUGGUGCAUGGUUGUCGUCAGCUCGUGUCGUGAGAUGUUGGGUUAAGUCCCGCAACGAGCGCAACCCUCGUUCUAUGUUGCCAGCGGGUUAUGCCGGGGACUCAUAGGAGACUGCCGGGGUCAACUCGGAGGAAGGUGGGGACGACGUCAAAUCAUCAUGCCCCUUAUGUCUUGGGCUUCACGCAUGCUACAAUGGCCGGUACAAAGGGUUGCGAUACUGUGAGGUGGAGCUAAUCCCAAAAAGCCGGUCUCAGUUCGGAUUGAGGUCUGCAACUCGACCUCAUGAAGUUGGAGUCGCUAGUAAUCGCAGAUCAGCAACGCUGCGGUGAAUACGUUCCCGGGCCUUGCACUCAAAGCCCGUCAAG